CUACUCUGACAUCCAGAGAACUUAGCAGAGAUGCUUUGGUGCCUUCGGGAACUCUGAGACAGGUGCUGCAUGGCUGUCGUCAGCUCGUGUUGUGAAAUGUUGGGUUAAGUCCCGCAACGAGCGCAACCCUUAUCCUUUGUUGCCAGCGGUUCGGCCGGGAACUCAAAGGAGACUGCCAGUGAUAAACUGGAGGAAGGUGGGGAUGACGUCAAGUCAUCAUGGCCCUUACGAGUAGGGCUACACACGUGCUACAAUGGCGUAUACAAAGAGAAGCGACCUCGCGAGAGCAAGCGGACCUCAUAAAGUACGUCGUAGUCCGGAUUGGAGUCUGCAACUCGACUCCAUGAAGUCGGAAUCGCUAGUAAUCGUAGAUCAGAAUGCUACGGUGAAUACGUUCCCGGGCCUUGUACACACCGCCCGUCACACCAUGGGAGUGGGUUGCAAAAGAAGUAGGUAGCUUAACCUUCGGGAGGGCGCUUACCACUUUGUGAUUCAUGACUGGGGUGAAGUCGUAACAAGGUAACCA
Molecule: ribosomal RNA, 526 nt
Filed under: uncultured Serratia sp.
Lineage: Bacteria; Pseudomonadati; Pseudomonadota; Gammaproteobacteria; Enterobacterales; Yersiniaceae
Description: bacterial SSU rRNA
Rfam family: Bacterial small subunit ribosomal RNA
Source: RNAcentral